GUUGACCUCGGAUCAGGUAGGACUACCCGCUGAACUUAAGCAUAUCAAUAAGCGGAGGAAAAGAAACCAACAGGGAUUGCCCCAGUAACGGCGAGUGAAGCGGCAACAGCUCAAAUUUGAAAUCUGGCCCCAGGCCCGAGUUGUAAUUUGCAGAGGAUGCUUCUGGCGCGGUGCCUUCCGAGUUCCCUGGAACGGGACGCCAUAGAGGGUGAGAGCCCCGUACGGUUGGACACCAAGCCUUUGUAAAGCUCCUUCGACGAGUCGAGUAGUUUGGGAAUGCUGCUCUAAAUGGGAGGUACAUUUCUUCUAAAGCUAAAUAUUGGCCAGAGACCGAUAGCGCGCAAGUAGAGUGAUCGAAAGAUGAAAAGCACUUUGAAAAGAGGGUUAAACAGCACGUGAAGUUGUUAAAAGGGAAGCGCUUGUGACCAGACUUGCGUCCGGUGAAUCACCCAGCUCUCGCGGCUGGGGCACUUCGCCGGCACAGGCCAGCAUCAGCUUGCCGUCGGGGACAAAAGCUUCAGGAACGUGGCUCCUUUCGGGGAGUGUUAUAGCCUGUUGCAUAAUACCCUUCGGCGGGCUGAGGUACGCGCUCCGCAAGGAUGCUGGCGUAAUGGUCAUCAGCGAC
RNAcentral lists this ribosomal RNA (625 nucleotides) under Colletotrichum godetiae. Its description in RNAcentral is "eukaryotic LSU rRNA". It matches the Rfam family "Eukaryotic large subunit ribosomal RNA", at positions 1 to 648 of the family's 3401-position model. The record is from RNAcentral. Lineage: Eukaryota; Fungi; Ascomycota; Sordariomycetes; Glomerellales; Glomerellaceae.